RNAcentral lists this ribosomal RNA (472 nucleotides) under uncultured bacterium. Its description in RNAcentral is "bacterial SSU rRNA". It matches the Rfam family "Bacterial small subunit ribosomal RNA", at positions 355 to 825 of the family's 1533-position model. The record is from RNAcentral.
UGGGGAAUAUUGGACAAUGGGCGAAAGCCUGAUCCAGCCAUGCCGCGUGUGUGAAGAAGGUCUUCGGAUUGUAAAGCACUUUAAGUUGGGAGGAAGGGCAGUUACCUAAUACGUGAUUGUUUUGACGUUACCGACAGAAUAAGCACCGGCUAACUCUGUGCCAGCAGCCGCGGUAAUACAGAGGGUGCAAGCGUUAAUCGGAAUUACUGGGCGUAAAGCGCGCGUAGGUGGUUAGUUAAGUUGGAUGUGAAAUCCCCGGGCUCAACCUGGGAACUGCAUCCAAAACUGGCAAGCUAGAGUAUGGUAGAGGGUGGUGGAAUUUCCUGUGUAGCGGUGAAAUGCGUAGAUAUAGGAAGGAACACCAGUGGCGAAGGCGACCACCUGGACUGAUACUGACACUGAGGUGCGAAAGCGUGGGGAGCAAACAGGAUUAGAUACCCCCGUAGUCCCUGAGCGGGCUGGCAAGGCGCAU